Molecule: non-coding RNA, 31 nt
Filed under: Mus musculus (house mouse)
Lineage: Eukaryota; Metazoa; Chordata; Mammalia; Rodentia; Muridae
Source: RNAcentral
UGCUCUUUUUUCAUGGUGUGUGGAAACAAGC